GUCUUGUUUUAUUUAUUUCCCACUCGAUUACAGAGAGCCUUUGAGUUCAGCCACAGAGACACAGAAACACAGUGGAAGCGGCUGUCAUACAGACACAGCUCCUGUACCAAGAAAAUCUUUGAAUAAUAAUCAUGUAAACUCAAACAUGGAGACACGAUUACUGAUGUUUUUGUAGAACUCUUCACAAUAAAUAAACCUGAUUUAUUUCUCAACAUCAUCUGAGUCUUCAUACAUAUCCACCAACAUCGUUCCUUAUAGCCAUCAUUCUCAAUACAUUAGCUCCUCCCACAUGUGGCGUCAAACUCAGGAACAUGUUUUUGACAGACGACGAGCAGUGAAUUUGGCAAAAGAGGGGCGGGGCAUGUGAAUCAUCAUGUUGGUGUUUCUUCUCAUUUCUCCUGCUGUUUUCAUGUUUUCAAUUCUUUGUUUUAAAUGUAAAGUUUUUAAAUACCUUAAUUUCCUUUUUCCAGUUAAAGUUUUUAAAAAAUGCAGUUUAGUCGAAUAAAAUAAAGUGAUAAUCUGGAAUAUAAUCUGAGAGUCAUCCUUCAGAUCAGUUUUAAACUUUUAAGUUUGUUUGUCAUGAAGGAGGACUUCCCCUCUGCAGGUCCAGAACCUUCAGGAGGUUCUGAGGAGAGCAGAGACGGUGAGAUCUUCACGGUUGGAGUCCUGUGUGGACUUGUUUGUUGAAGCGGCGUCGGAAGUGGAGGGAACCACCACUCACUUCCUGUCUCAGGGGUUUUGGGUGAGAGGGACAGUUCCUCAGCUGCAGACGAGCUGCUGCCGCAGACGAGAUGCAGUUCACGUCUGUUCACAUGCUGGGAUGGAGACAUGCAAACUCUACUUUCUGCUGCUUCUUCUCACCAACGCUGAAGGAUUUCGAGAACGGCUCCAGAAGAUCCUUCAUCAUCAGCCGGAUGUGAUUCCAGUUUGCAGAAACGAUUCGAGUAACGUCAUCCUACUGAUAGUCUGCUUGAUCCACACUGAGGGGGGGUUCUGCCGCCUGACCUUCAGACCUGGACGCACCUCUGACCCUGAAUGUGGCUCCAAGGUCCAGAUGAUGGUGGAGAAGCAGACGGUGUUCCUGCAGCUGAGCUCUCUGGGAGCAGAGGACAGCGGGAACAGCAGCUGUCAGUGUUCUCGUGCUGAAGGAGUCACCAUCGUGGAGCUGAACAUCACCGUGGUUACCACAGGUCAGGAGGCUCCUCCCAAACAUUCUGACGCCUCCACACCGCCUCACCAAGAACCGUCUUUUUUCUCUUCAGGGAAUAGAACCGUCGACUCGUUUCCAUCUAAAUUCCAACUAACUAUUUUUCUCGUGGUGCUGGUUCUGGUUCUGGUGCUGGCUUCAGGAGUGCUGCUGUUUCUACAGAUGAUCGUCACUCAGAAAAGGUAGGAGUCCUUCCUCUGAGCUGCUCCUCAGGUGUUCGGUUUGAAAGCUCUGCUUCACCUGCGUUUCUCCUCUGAAGGAGGGAGAACGUCCGUCUGGAGCUGCCUUUGCAGCGUUCACCCAGCAGGAGGCGACAGAGACCCAACAGCGGCCCUCCGCAGACGGUACAGAAUCGGUCCAAACGCGUCUUUCAGAGCCUCCAUCACAGGUUCAAACCCACCUGUUUUCUCUCAGGUGGUGGAGGACGUUGAGCCGUACGACGAGUUCCAGCAGAAGGAGAACGUUCUGUAUUCAUCCUCCAGAGCCCACAGUUGCAGCACCAUCAGCGAUGUUCUCACCUGAAGCCGUACAUCACAUUCAGAGAACUUUCUCUGUUUCUGUUUGAAUGACAGAAUCAUUCCUCGAGGAGAAGGUGUCUCUGAUUCUACUGCUUGACCUUCUUUGUUUAAAGCUGCAGCUUCAGACAGGAAGUCAGCUGCUCCAUCUGACUUCCUGUCUGAACUUCCUGAUCUCACGGCUGCAUCACUUUCUCCUCUUUCACUUCUUGAAGCUAAUCUUUGAAGUGGGUGUACCCCUCAGAGGAUUCGCGUGUUUUGACUAGGGCUGCCACAAACGAUUAUUUUAAUAGUCGACUAAUCAUUGAUUAAUAUUUCCGAUUAGUCGACUAAUCGGAUCAUGGACAAAGUGGAUGUAAAGAAAAUCUGAAAUAUGAUUAGCUUUAAAACCAAAAAAUCCUAAAUAAGCUAAAAUCGCUAGCAUAUAGCUGAAAUAUUAGCUAAACUCCAAAUUAGUCUAAAAAACUGUAAAAAUUACAAAUUAGCCAAAAUAGCUAGCAUGUAGCUGAAGACAUAGCAAAACUCCAAAUUAGCCUAAAAAACUGUAAAAAUCCCAAAUUAGCCAAAAUAGCUAACAUAUAGCUGAAAUAUUAGCUAAACUCCAAAUUAGCCUAAAAAACUGUAAACAUUUAGAAUUAGCUAGCUAACAUGUAAAUGAAAUAUUAGCUAAACUCCUAAUUAGCCUAAAAAACUGUAAAAAAAAAAAUCCCAAAUUAGCUAAAAUAGUGUAAUAUUAGCUAAACUCCAAAUUAGCCUAAAAAACUGUAAACAUUUAGAAUUAGCUAGCUAACAUGUAAAUGAAAUAUUAGCUAAACUCCAAAUUUGCCUACAAAACUGAAAAAAUCCUAAAUUAGCCAAAAGAGCUAAUAUGUAGCUGAAAUAUUAUCUUAAUUCCAAAUUAGCCUAAAAAACUGAAAAAGCCUAAGUUAGCCAAAAUAGCAAAAUAGCUAGCAUGAAGCUAAAAUAUUAGCUAAACUCACUCCAAAAUAGCCUGAAAACCCUUAAUAAAUGCCAAAAUAGUCUAAAAAGCUAGCAGAAUGUCAUUAUAACUUUCAACUUUACUACAGCCUAACUCCAUAUAUUAUAAAGUAACGACUAAUCGACUAUUAAAUUAGUUGUCGACUAUUUUAAUAGUCGAUUAGUCAUCGAUUCGUCGACUAAUCGUGGCAGCCCUAGCUUUGACUAAAGUCAGAGUUUGGUUAAGGCCCGAUCCGAACUCUUCCUCCAUGCUCCUCCAUUCGAGGAGGCUUGUUAAGUGCAAGUGGUGUCCAAAAUAGUUAUUUGAACAUUCUCCCCUCCAGGCAGAGGGGUACAGAACCCCCCUCGCGAGGGGGUUCCACGCCGCGCUACGCCGGCGACUGUUAGUGACAUCAUCAAGUGGAAAUCUGAGACACUAUUUGUCCAUGACUCUGUUUGGAGGAGAAUGGAAGAAUUAUUUCUCUUCAUCACUGACAAACUUUAGGUAAAUACAAGAUUUUAAAUGUAUUUAUUUCAUUACUUACAGCCAUCUAAAGCUGUUUUUAAAUGUCUCGGUGGAUUUGCACCUCAACCACUCUCUACACUUGUGAAAAGACUAGAAACUUCCAGACCAACAACAGCUGCUGCAAAUGGAGACUGCAAAGUCCCGAUUCAUCGAACAUCUUUUUACAAAAUAUAUUUUCAGUGAAAGGAGUCGAUCUAAAAAAAACUGACUAAAGUGUCCAUCUUUAAAAAGCAAAUUACAUUCUAGUUCUCAGAGAAACACAUUGUGUAAAAUCUGUUUUCUGGCUUUGUGAAGUGUGUAGUAGGAGUAUGGUUGAAUACAUUUUCUACUUGUUUUUUAUGGUUAUCAAUGAAUUUCUACAGUUUUUUGUGUUUUACUCUUUGUAUUUUCUUUUCACUGUUUAACUUUUUUCAGUAGAAAUCUCCACUGGGUUCAGCUGUCGAGUCACAAACAGAGUCUGGCAUACAUGCA
This is a long non-coding RNA of Oryzias javanicus (javanese ricefish), 3676 nucleotides long. The record is from Ensembl. Lineage: Eukaryota; Metazoa; Chordata; Actinopteri; Beloniformes; Adrianichthyidae.